AGAGUUUGAUCCUGGCUCAGGACGAACAUUGGCGGCGCGCCUAAUGCAUGCAAGUCGAGCGAACUCGUUUUCUUCGGAAAGCACAUAGUUAGCGGCGAACGGCUGAGUAACGCGUAAGUAACCUGCCUCGAAGAGGGGAAAAACUAUGAGAAAUCAUAGCUAAUUCCGCGUAAUGUCGAUUAAUUAAUUUAAUUGAAGAAAGAUUUAUCGCUUUGAGAUGGGCUUGCGUCCUAUCAGGUAGUUGGUAAGGUAAUAGCUUACCAAGCCUAAGACGGGUAGCUGGAGUGAGAGCUUGACCAGCCAGAGGGGGACUGAGACACGGCCCCCACUCCUACGGGAGGCAGCAGCAGGGAAUCUUGCACAAUGGGCGAAAGCCUGAUGCAGCGACGCCGCGUGAGGGAUGAAGGUUUUAGGAUCGUAAACCUCUUUUCUUAGGGAAUAGUUUGGAAGGUACCUAAGGAAUAAGUCACGGCUAACUACGUGCCAGCAGCCGCGGUAAUACGUAGGUGGCAAAUGUUGUCCGGAAUCAUUGGGCGUAAAGGGUCCGUAGGUGGCAUAAAAAGUCUUAUGUGAAAUCUCUUGGCUCAACCAAGAAACGCCAUAAGAAACUUUUAUGCUAGAGAUCAUCAGAGGGAGGUAGAAUUCCAGGUGUAGUGGUGAAAUGCGUAGAUAUCUGGAGGAAUACCAAUGGCGAAAGCAGCCUCCUGGGGUGAAUCUGACAUUGAGGGACGAAAGCGUGGGUAGCAAACCGGAUUAGAUACCCGGGUAGUCCAUGCCGUAAACGAUGAAUACUGGGUCUUCGGGGAAUCGACCCCCUGUGGACCGAAGCUAACGCGUUAAGUAUUCCGCCUGGGGAGUACGGUCGCAAGACUAAAACUCAAAGGAAUUGAC
RNAcentral lists this ribosomal RNA (891 nucleotides) under marine metagenome. RNAcentral's name for it is "bacterial SSU rRNA". It matches the Rfam family "Bacterial small subunit ribosomal RNA", at positions 8 to 914 of the family's 1533-position model. The record is from RNAcentral.